This 162-nucleotide ribosomal RNA is filed under the name uncultured bacterium. RNAcentral describes it as "partial 16S rRNA". It matches the Rfam family "Bacterial small subunit ribosomal RNA", at positions 355 to 511 of the family's 1533-position model. The record is from RNAcentral.
UAGGGAAUCUUCCACAAUGGGCGAAAGCCUGAUGGAGCAACGCCGCGUGUGUGAUGAAGGGUUUCGGCUCGUAAAACACUGUUGUAAGAGAAGAAUGACAUUGAGAGUAACUGUUCAAUGUGUGACGGUAUCUUACAGAAAGGACGGCUAAAUACGUGCCAG